CAGGACGAACGCUGGCGGCGCGCCUAACACAUGCAAGUCGAGCGAGAACCAGGGCUUCGGCCCUGGGGAAAGCGGCGAACGGGUGAGUAACACGUGGAUAACCUGCCCUCGGCACCGGAAUAGCCCGGGGAAACCCGGAUUAAUGCCGGAUAGCCCCACAUCCCCGCGGGGAACGUGGGAAAAGGUAGCCUCGGCCUCUGGCCGAGGAUGGGUCCGCGGUGGAUUAGCUUGUUGGCGGGGUAACGGCCCACCAAGGCGACGAUCCAUAGCUGGUCUGAGAGGACGAUCAGCCACACUGGGACUGAGACACGGCCCAGACUCCUACGGGAGGCAGCAGUGGGGAAUCUUGCGCAAUGGGCGAAAGCCUGACGCAGCGACGCCGCGUGCGGGAAGAAGGCCUUCGGGUUGUAAACCGCUUUCAGGAGGGACGAAGCCACUCGGGUGAACAGCCCAGAGGGUGACGGUACCUCCAGAAGAAGCCCCGGCUAACUACGUGCCAGCAGCCGCGGUAAUACGUAGGGGGCAAGCGUUGUCCGGAUUCAUUGGGCGUAAAGAGCGUGUAGGCGGCCAGGUAGGUCGGUUGUGAAAACUGGAGGCUCAAUCUUCAGACGUCGACCGAAACCAUCUGGCUAGAGUCCGGGAGAGGAGAGUGGAAUUCCUGGUGUAGCGGUGAAAUGCGCAGAUAUCAGGAAGAACACCCGUGGCGAAAGCGGCUCUCUGGAACGGUACUGACGCUGAGACGCGAAAGCGUGGGGAGCGAACAGGAUUAGAUACCCUGGUAGUCCACGCCGUAAACGAUGGGCGCUAGGUGUGGGAGGUGUCGACUCCUUCCGUGCCGCAGCUAACGCAUUAAGCGCCCCGCCUGGGGAGUACGGCCGCAAGGCUAAAACUCAAAUGAAUUGACGG
RNAcentral lists this ribosomal RNA (906 nucleotides) under uncultured bacterium. Its description in RNAcentral is "bacterial SSU rRNA". It matches the Rfam family "Bacterial small subunit ribosomal RNA", at positions 25 to 916 of the family's 1533-position model. The record is from RNAcentral.